UACGUAGGGUCCGAGCGUUGUCCGGAAUUAUUGGGCGUAAAGAGCUCGUAGGCGGUCUGUUGCGUCGGUUGUGAAAACCUGGGGCUCAACUCCAGGCCUGCAAUCGAUACGGGCAGACUAGAGUUCGGUAGGGGAGACUGGAAUUCCUGGUGUAGCGGUGAAAUGCGCAGAUAUCAGGAGGAACACCGGUGGCGAAGGCGGCGCUCUGGACCGAUACUGACGCUGAGGCGCGAAAGCGUGGGGAGCAAACAGG
Molecule: ribosomal RNA, 253 nt
Filed under: uncultured bacterium
Lineage: Bacteria
Description: partial 16S ribosomal RNA
Rfam family: Bacterial small subunit ribosomal RNA
Source: RNAcentral